UGUACUGCAAAAUGUAAUGAAAUGCCCAUUGAUGUUGCUUUGGAUUGUAUUAGUAGUUGUGACAUGAACAACUCCAUUAACAUCGAUACUGAUGCUCAUAGCCUUGGGGUGACCUAUUUGGUGAAUUCUUGCUUGCAAGCAUGCAAGA
Molecule: non-coding RNA, 148 nt
Organism: Cajanus cajan (pigeon pea)
Lineage: Eukaryota; Viridiplantae; Streptophyta; Magnoliopsida; Fabales; Fabaceae
Source: RefSeq, a predicted model, not a curated record